Molecule: long non-coding RNA, 926 nt
Filed under: Helianthus annuus (common sunflower)
Lineage: Eukaryota; Viridiplantae; Streptophyta; Magnoliopsida; Asterales; Asteraceae
Description: hypothetical non coding rna
Source: RNAcentral
GGUUUUACUUUUGCUUUUUGGGCACUAGGUAACAACUCAAAAGUCUCUCACACACACAUACAUACGCUGAGAGCCGACGAGGACGAAGGGAUUCCGGUGAGUACUCCGACGUGUGACUGCUACCAAUCUAGGCCUUGAGCAUGUCGGCGGUCGAUUGUCCGACCGUGCAUAGUUAGACGGCGGCGAGCUUAUUGGCCGGAAACGAAGGGAUUCCGGUGAGUACUCCGACGUGUGACUGCUACCAAUCUAAGCCUUGAGCAUGUCGGUGGUCGAUUGUCCGACCGUGCAUCGAUGAUGGUUCAGUGAAGAAGUUAGACGGCGGCGAGCUUAUUGGCCGGAAACGAGAACGGUGACAUGAAGACGGGUUCCAAUCACAUCAAUCUGAUAAUAAUUCGGGUGUGUAAGACUCCUCAUCUAUGAUCUUAGAUGCGACUGAAAACGAUGCACCAAUUUGGGUCCGAAAAAAGCACAACUGCAAAGAAACUUAUGAUUAAGCUGGUUAAAUAUAUGUGGAUGUAGGGUUUUGGUUAUAUGGAUUGGAUUAUCAACAAUAAUUUUGGAGAUCUUUGCUUAAUUAAUUUGAGUAGCGAUUUUUUAGGAGUUUUGUAGAUAACAUUUUCGUUAUUGGGUUUAGGGUGUUUGUAUUGUCUAAAUUAUUAUUUAGGUAUCAAGUUACUUAUUAUUGCGAAUACUCUAGGUGUUGUCAACAAAAAUAAAGAAGGGUACGUCUACAGAAACCGGAGAAAAAAAACUACAAUAAGUUUUGUUCAAUGUACAAAACACAUGUACUCAACAACCAUUUAGGUGGGAGUAGUUUUAUUUGAUUGCAAUAUUGGAGUUGAUCUACAGUUUGGGAUUUUGGUUACAUAUUCAUUUGUGUUGACACAAUAAUUAUAGUUUUCGCUUUGAUUCGGUUUAUAUUAAUC